Camellia sinensis is the source of this 130-nucleotide non-coding RNA. Lineage: Eukaryota; Viridiplantae; Streptophyta; Magnoliopsida; Ericales; Theaceae. The record is from RefSeq and is a predicted model, not a curated record.
AACACAUUCUAAUUGUUGUUGGGAUUUACACCUUCAGUUAGUCUGUUGUUGGGAAAUCAUUUUUUCAUUAUUAUUGGGUGAACCUCUUGAGUAGUUAAUGAUUGAAGGUUCAAUAAAUGAUUGGACAUUA